This 171-nucleotide unclassified non-coding RNA is filed under the name uncultured Cladophialophora. Its description in RNAcentral is "sequence contains ITS2". Lineage: Eukaryota; Fungi; Ascomycota; Eurotiomycetes; Chaetothyriales; Herpotrichiellaceae. The record is from RNAcentral.
UCACCCCUCAAGCCCCGCGCUUGGUGUUGGAUGGCCGGUUGAGCGAUCGACCCCUCCUAAAGACAAUGACGGCGGCCUGUGGUUCCCCCGGUACACUGAGCUUUUCAUCGAGCACGUAUCGGACAAGGGCACCCGGGACCCGGUCCUCUCCUUUAACUAGGAAACUUCUAA